Molecule: ribosomal RNA, 587 nt
Filed under: Pediococcus pentosaceus
Lineage: Bacteria; Bacillati; Bacillota; Bacilli; Lactobacillales; Lactobacillaceae
Description: bacterial SSU rRNA
Rfam family: Bacterial small subunit ribosomal RNA
Source: RNAcentral
UACUUGUACUGAUUGAGAUUUUAACACGAAGUGAGUGGCGAACGGGUGAGUAACACGUGGGUAACCUGCCCAGAAGUAGGGGAUAACACCUGGAAACAGAUGCUAAUACCGUAUAACAGAGAAAACCGCAUGGUUUUCUUUUAAAAGAUGGCUCUGCUAUCACUUCUGGAUGGACCCGCGGCGUAUUAGCUAGUUGGUGAGGUAAAGGCUCACCAAGGCAGUGAUACGUAGCCGACCUGAGAGGGUAAUCGGCCACAUUGGGACUGAGACACGGCCCAGACUCCUACGGGAGGCAGCAGUAGGGAAUCUUCCACAAUGGACGCAAGUCUGAUGGAGCAACGCCGCGUGAGUGAAGAAGGGUUUCGGCUCGUAAAGCUCUGUUGUUAAAGAAGAACGUGGGUAAGAGUAACUGUUUACCCAGUGACGGUAUUUAACCAGAAAGCCACGGCUAACUACGUGCCAGCAGCCGCGGUAAUACGUAGGUGGCAAGCGUUAUCCGGAUUUAUUGGGCGUAAAGCGAGCGCAGGCGGUCUUUUAAGUCUAAUGUGAAAGCCUUCGGCUCAACCGAAGAAGUGCAUUGGAAACUG